AAUGGGCGAAAGCCUGAUGCAGCGACGCCGCGUGCGGGAUGACGGCCUUCGGGUUGUAAACCGCUUUCAGCAGGGAAGAAGCGAAAGUGACGGUACCUGCAGAAGAAGCACCGGCUAACUACGUGCCAGCAGCCGCGGUAAUACGUAGGGUGCGAGCGUUGUCCGGAAUUAUUGGGCGUAAAGAGCUUGUAGGCGGUUUGUCGCGUCUGCUGUGAAAACCCGGGGCUCAACCCCGGACUUGCAGUGGGUACGGGCAAACUAGAGUGUGGUAGGGGAGACUGGAAUUCCUGGUGUAGCGGUGAAAUGCGCAGAUAUCAGGAGGAACACCAAUGGCGAAGGCAGGUCUCUGGGCCAUUACUGACGCUGAGAAGCGAAAGCGUGGGGAGCGAA
This 390-nucleotide ribosomal RNA is filed under the name uncultured bacterium. RNAcentral's name for it is "bacterial SSU rRNA". It matches the Rfam family "Bacterial small subunit ribosomal RNA", at positions 370 to 772 of the family's 1533-position model. The record is from RNAcentral.